This is a long non-coding RNA of Leopardus geoffroyi (Geoffroy's cat), 217 nucleotides long. RefSeq lists it as uncharacterized. Lineage: Eukaryota; Metazoa; Chordata; Mammalia; Carnivora; Felidae. The transcript is spliced from 3 exons. The record is from RefSeq and is a predicted model, not a curated record.
ACGCGUCCGGGGCUGGGGGCGGGGCCGAGGGCGGGGCUCUCCCCACGUGGCCGGGGGCUGAGGGCGGGGCUGACAGCGGGGCGGGGCUGACAGCGGGUCCUCCCACGCGUCCGGGGUGAGGGCGGGGCUCACCCCAAGCGGCGGGGCUGAGGGCGGGGCUGACAGCAGGUCCUCCCACGCGUCCGGGGUGAGGGCGGGGCUCACCCCAAGCGCCCGG